AACGAACGCUGGCGGCAUGCCUAACACAUGCAAGUCGAACGGGCCCUUCGGGCGUAGUGGCGCACAGGUGCGUAACGCGUGGGAAUCUGCCCUUACGGUUCGGAAUAACUCAGGGAAACGUUAGAGCUAAUACCGUAUAAUGACUUCGGUCCAAAGAUUUAUCGCCUAGGGAUGAGCCCGCGUAGGAUUAGCUUGUUGGUGAGGUAAAGGCUCACCAAGGCGACGAUCCUUAGC
Molecule: ribosomal RNA, 234 nt
Filed under: uncultured bacterium
Lineage: Bacteria
Description: partial 16S ribosomal RNA
Rfam family: Bacterial small subunit ribosomal RNA
Source: RNAcentral